UAGGAAGUGCGUCUCCUACUGGGUGAAACUAAACUUUAGGAAGUGCGUCUCCUAUGAUAAACUGAACUUAGGAAGUGCGUUUCCUAUGGUAAAAUUGAAUUUUAGGAAGUGCGUCUCCUAUUGGUACAACUAUUCUUAGGAAGUGCGUCUCCUAUUAGUAGAACUUAACUUAGGAAGUGCGUCUCCUAUAGGGUACAAUAAACUUUAGGAAGUGCGUCUCCUAUUGGUAGAACUGAAUUUAGGAAGUGCGUCUCCUAUGGUAAAACUGAACUUAGGAGGAAAUGCAUCUCCUAUGGGUGAAACUGAAACAAACCUAGGAGGAAAUGCGUCUCCUAUGGGUAAAACUAAACAAACCUAGGAGGAAAUGCAUCUCCUAUGGGUAAAACUAAAACUUAGGAGGAAAUGCAUCUCCUAUGGGUAAAGACGUGGAAUGUAUGCCUCUGUUAUCUGGGCGGGCUCCCAACUUCAAUACUUAAAACGUAAAAACUGAAUGUAUGCCUCUAUUAUCUGGGCGGGCUCCCAAUUUCAACACUUGAAAUAAAAGACUGAAU
RNAcentral lists this long non-coding RNA (551 nucleotides) under Nicotiana tabacum (common tobacco). RNAcentral's name for it is "long non-coding RNA (NTAB_LNC016694)". Lineage: Eukaryota; Viridiplantae; Streptophyta; Magnoliopsida; Solanales; Solanaceae. The record is from RNAcentral.